RNAcentral lists this long non-coding RNA (214 nucleotides) under Elaeis guineensis (African oil palm). Its description in RNAcentral is "long non-coding RNA (EGUI_LNC017590)". Lineage: Eukaryota; Viridiplantae; Streptophyta; Magnoliopsida; Arecales; Arecaceae. The record is from RNAcentral.
UGGUAUUAUCUCCAACCUCUUAUGGUUCAGAGACAUUAAGAACGUAAGAGAGCUUCUUCUGAGUGAGUACAAUCUUUAAAUUCUUCAACCAAUCUAUGUAAUUGGGACCGAUCAAGUUGUUGAAAUCUAAAAUUUCUCACAAUGAUGAUGAGAUGCUAUUUGUAGAAUUUAAUCUACAAUAAAUAAAGAAUAUAAUAUAAGCAAAUAACUCAUG